Molecule: ribosomal RNA, 253 nt
Filed under: Stenotrophomonas lactitubi
Lineage: Bacteria; Pseudomonadati; Pseudomonadota; Gammaproteobacteria; Lysobacterales; Lysobacteraceae
Also listed under: 4 other names
Description: partial 16S ribosomal RNA
Rfam family: Bacterial small subunit ribosomal RNA
Source: RNAcentral
UACGAAGGGUGCAAGCGUUACUCGGAAUUACUGGGCGUAAAGCGUGCGUAGGUGGUUGUUUAAGUCUGUUGUGAAAGCCCUGGGCUCAACCUGGGAACUGCAGUGGAAACUGGACAACUAGAGUGUGGUAGAGGGUAGCGGAAUUCCCGGUGUAGCAGUGAAAUGCGUAGAGAUCGGGAGGAACAUCCAUGGCGAAGGCAGCUACCUGGACCAACACUGACACUGAGGCACGAAAGCGUGGGGAGCAAACAGG